CAGGGAGACAACAAAAUGUUUAAUAUUAUUAUUUUGUCACCUUAGGUCGAUCGGUAUCUCACGUUCUUAAUUUAUUAAGGAUUUCAUUUCCUAAGUUUUUCUAGGUCACACCCAUUAUUUUUCCUGGGCCAUUAGCUCAGGUGGUUAGAGCGCACCCCUGAUAAGGGUGAGGUCCCUGGUUCAAGUCCAGGAUGGCCCAUAUCUCUAUGUUGGGGGUAUAGCUCAGUUGGUAGAGCGCCUGCUUUGCAAGCAGGAUGUCAGCGGUUCGAGUCCGCUUACCUCCACUGAUUACCACCUCUUCCAUAAUUUGUAGAAAGGGAAUUUUUUGAGUCGUGACCAAAUUCUGAAAGAAUCUAGCUUCCUAAUGAAAUCAUUAAGAUGCUGGACUCAUUGAUUAAUUUCAUUGUUUUCAGAGAACCUUGACAACUGCAUAGAUUAUUUUUUUAAAGACAAUAAGCAUCUUUAAUGAUGCAGAUUUAUUAUUUGUGCGAAUGCAUUAAUAACAAUUCUAUUAAGCUGAUGCUUCAAUUUUUGAAGUUAUU
RNAcentral lists this transfer RNA (542 nucleotides) under uncultured Prochlorococcus sp. RNAcentral describes it as "partial 16S-23S ribosomal RNA intergenic spacer". The stretch from base 212 to 284 matches the Rfam family "tRNA". The record is from RNAcentral. Lineage: Bacteria; Bacillati; Cyanobacteriota; Cyanophyceae; Synechococcales; Prochlorococcaceae.